CCUGAAAGUGCAACUAAUCCCCGGGUGGUUUUGGUAAUUAAUAACAACAUAUAUAUCAUUGAACUAAUAGUUUCUUGAGAAUCAUUUCAGAAAGUUCAGUGAUAUGGGUAUGGCAAGGACUGAAGAAGUGGACCCCUCAAAAUGCUAAGGCAAGCAUUGGCAAAAGCUCAAGACUCCAUUUUUGGUUUAGUGAUCCAAGAUCACAUUGAGUCCAUAGGAAAGCCAAUACUAUUAAAAGGGGAUGAGGUUAUGAUGAUGAUCUGGUUGCUCAAGUGCUUAGUGAUACAUCUCCUAAACUAUCAGCAACUUUCACUGCCAUAUACACUCAUAAGUAAUCUCGGUCCCACCGAUAUUCCAAACUCAGUCACACCGAGAUGAACCACCUCAGCCAUAAAGCCAAACCCUAGAAAACUCGGAUUUUCCGAUUCUGAACUCGGUCUCACCGAAACUUGAGUCGCCAAGCUUCUGUAACCUUCUGCCAUCAAAUCGGUGUCACCGAGAUGAUGAAGUCGGUCCCACCGAAAUUGGCAAGCUCUUGUCAUUGCACGAAUCGGACUAACCGAGAUUGUAUUUUCGGUCCCACCGAAAAUCCCAACGUUCACAUUAUUUGAACUUUCGGUCUCACCGAGUUGUCAACUUCGGUCCCACCGAGAUUGCUCAAAUGUGUGUAACGGUUGGAUUUUGUGUGGAGGCUAUAAAUACCCCUCCACCCCCUCUUCAUUCGUGGAGAGAGCCAUCAGAAAGAACUACCACUCCUACCUUACAUUUCUGAGAAGAGAACUACCUACCCUUGUGUUGAGAUCAAGUUGCUCCACUUCCACCAUAUGAAGCUUGAUCUCUAGCCUUCACAAGUUGCUUUCCACUCAAUCCUUUCUUCCACCACAGCCAAAUCAGUGAGGAGAGUUGAGUGUUGGGGAGAUUAUCAUUUGAAGCACAAGAGCAAGGAGUUCAUCAUCAUCAACAACAUCUAUUACCUUUUGGAGGGUGGUGCCUCCUAGAUUGGUUAGGUGUCGCUUGGGAGCCUCCGUCGAGAUGUGGAGUUGAACCAAGAAGUUUGUAAGGGCAAGGAGAUCGCCUACUUCGUGAAGAUCUACCCCGAGUAAGGCUAGCCCUCCGUGGGCGUAGGCCAUGAUGGAAUAGACAAGGUUGCUUCUUCGUGGACCCUUCGUGGGUGGAGCCCUCCGUGGACUCUCGCAGCCGUUACCCUCCGUGGGUUGAAGUCUCCAUCAACGUGGAAGUACGAUAGCACCACCUAUCGGAACCACGAGAAAAAUCAUCGCGUCUCCAAAAUUGCGUUUGCUCUUCUCCACCUCUCUUUACUACAUGUGCAAUUUACUUUCCGCUGCCUAUACUCUAGAAUUGCAUGUGUAGGGUGAUGCUUGACUUGAUCGUAAUUGUGAAUCUGCCAAAAACUGUUCUUUGUCAAAAGGCAGAAUUUUUAUAUUGUCAAGUAGUCUAAUCACCCCCCUCUAGACAUACUUUCGAUCCUACAAGUGGUAUCAGAGCUUUGAUCUCCAUUGUAUUGGUUUCCAUUGCAUUGGACUCCAUAAGCUUGGUUUCACAACCUAGGAGAGUAUGGCGUCUAGUGAGGGUAAUUUUUGUAGAGGUCCUUACUUUGAUGGUACAAAUUUUGCUAGUUGGAAGCAUAAAAUGAAAAUGCAUAUUCUUGGCCAUAACCCAGCCGCAUGGGGCAUUAUUUGUGUUGGUAUUCAAGGUGAAUUCUUCGAGGAAGGAAAAGUUCCGGAUCGCGAAGCUACAACGGAAGAAUUGCGGAUGUUGCAAAACAAUGCUCAAGCUUGUGACAUUCUCUUCAAUGCCUUGUGUCCCGAGGAGUUCAACAAAAUCAGCCGUCUUGAGAAUGCAAAAGAGAUUUGGGAUACUUUGGUUGAAAUGCACGAAGGUACCGAGUCUGUGAAGGAAUCAAAGCUAGAUGUUCUUCAAGGUCAACUUGACAAGUUCAAGAUGAGGGAUGGUGAAGGUGUCGCUGAAAUGUACUCUAGGCUUGCUCUCAUCACAAAUGAGAUUGCCGGCUUAGGAAGCGAAGAAAUGACCGACCGAUUCAUCAUCAAGAAGAUUCUCAGAGCUUUGGAUGGAAAGUAUGACACCGUGUGCACUUUGAUCCAAAUGAUGCCAAACUACAAGAAUCUCAAGCCAACCGAAGUCAUUGGAAGAAUUGUUGCUCAUGAGAUGACACUUAAGGAUAAGGAAGAGCUUCACAACAAGUCAAGUGGUGCUUACAAAGCUACAAGUGAUGCUCCCACAACCUCAAGUGACAAGUUGGUUUCAAAUGAAGAGAUAAGCCUAAUGGUCAAGAACUUCAACAAAUUCUACAAGAAUAAAAGCAAAGAGAGAAGCUCAAAAUCUAGAUCAUAUGAUGAAAAGAGAUCUUCUAGUCGUGAUCGAAACUGCUACAAUUGUGGAAGACCCGGACACUACUCAAAUGAGUGUACGGCUCCCCACAAGAGAAGAGAAGAAUCUCCAAGAAGAAGAAGCUCAAGAGAUGAGUCACCUCGGAAAGAGAGAAGGAGCAGAGAUGAUCGUUAUGAACGAAGACCCUCUCGGAGAAGCAAGGAUUCGGAGAGGAAAGACAAGUCAUCAAGGAGCUACACAAGAAGAAAACAUCAAGCUCAUGUAGGUGAAUGGGUCUCCGGCUCCGACUCCGACAAUCAAUCCGAAGGAAGCUAUCACUCCAACUCCGACUACAGUCAAGAUGAAGGUGUUGCCGGUCUUGCUCUCGUAUCCUCCAACUCCAACUUCUACGACUUAUUUGAUUCACCAAAUGAGGGAAUUGGAAGAUGCUUCAUGGCUAAAGGCCCCAAGGUAUCACACCCUGAAUUUAUUGACUUCAAUAGUGAUGAGGAUGACUUGCUUGGUGAAGAUGAGCUCUUACAUGAUAAAUCCAGUGAGCCUAGUAAUGAUGAACAUGCUAGUAGUCUUUAUAGUCGAGAAGAGUCGAAUGACAAUGCUAUGAAGGAGAUUGAGCGUCUAACUAAAGAACUAAACACUCUUAAGUUAGCUCAUGAAACAACUCAAGAAGAUCAUAGAGAGCUCCUAAGAUCUCAUGAGAAGCGACGCUUCGAGAAGCUCACUCUAGAGCAAGAACAUGAGUUUCUAAAAGCAAUCAAUGAUGAUCUUCGAAAGAAGAGUUCUUCAUAUCUUGCCAAACGACUUCUCUUGUCUAAUUUCUUGCCACCCAUUAAAACUAAGCAUGACAAGCAUAAGAAAAAUUCUUCUUCUAGUAGUAACAAUAACCAUGCUAAAUCCAAUAUUGUUGCUUCUAGUAGUUCUCUUGAUUCCACUAACCAUGUUUCAAGCCAAGUUACACUUGAGCAAGAAAAUAGUUUAUUGAAAGGGAUUAUAGAGAAAGGUGUCUACAAGAGCCUUGCCGGAAGCAAGAACUUUGAGGAAAUUGUUCGCAAGCAAGGGAGGCACCGGAAGAAUCAAGGAAUUGGUUUUGAGCGAAAGUUCAACGCCGAAGGUGUUGAAUGGGAAGAAGGUCAAUAUCCUACUCCACAGUUUGUUUCUCAAAAGGAGAAGUAUGAUCCUACUUCUUCCAAUGUGGAACAAGCUCAAGAUGACCUUCCACCACAAGACCACAAGCUAAAAGGCAAGGACAAGCUUCAAGAGGAGAUUGAUGCAUUUAUUGAAGCACCUCAAGCCAUGGUCAAGUGGGUUCCCAAGGAAACGUCAAGUUCUACUUCGUCAAGCUCAACUACAACCCCAAGGAUUCCCAUCAAGAUGAUGUGGAUCCCGAAGAAGAAGAACUAGAAAGUUCUUGAGGGUGACUCCGCCAACAUACUUCACUCACAUUCAUUUUGGCAAAAACUUGUGCAAUCAACUUCCACAUCGUGCACUAGUUCAUGGAGUCACAAACCCUCUUGUUGGUAAGUCAAGGGACAAGGUAAUCAUUGCUUUCAUGGACAUCAUCUAUUGUGUACUUCAAUCUAUGUCCAUGGAUAUCCUUGUUUGUUCCUUGUGGGACUAACCCAUGUAGGUAUUGAAAGUGCCCGAAUCCAAAGGAUAGCUCCCAACUCUUGAUGAUCUUCAUCAACAUUGAGCAUCCACAUCUUCAACAUCUACAUGAAGUCUUCUACGACAACCCAAGGUUAGUUUGACCCUUUAAAAGGGGUUCUCACAUCUAGGGGGAGCUUUGCUCUAAAGAAUUGAGCUAAAGCAUCUUCAAAUGAUGUGAACACAUCAAUGCUUUAUGUAAAAGUGGUAACCCCACUUGUGCUUAAACGAUGAGUAUGACCUAUGAUCAAAUGUUCUCAUUUGGCUCCUAAGUCAAUAUACUCAUAUAAAGAUGACCUAGUCAUCGACAAAUUGUGUGUUAGUUGCUAGAGUUUUUGUUGUGCAUGUUUGACACAUAUUUCAUUUGCUAUCUUAUUGUGUGAGCAUGUUGGAUGCAUGAUUUUAUCCAUUCGAGGACAUCCAUUUGUUGUUUUGGUCGUUUUGAUUUUUCUGACCAAAUGGAUGGACAAGAAUGCCUAAGUACCUCCCCUAGCUAUCUAUGCUUUCUUGUCUCAAAUUCUAUUCAUGCUUACAUCACAAACUUUGAACAAGUCAUUUUCGGACCCUCCGGGUGAGGAGCACUCGGAGCCACCGAUCCGUCAAGGGCUAACUUCCAAAACCUUCUAAUUGAUUUCGGUCAGACCAACCCACUCAAACUCGGUCGAACCAAAAGCAUUUAGACUGAUCUAGGUUUUCACCUCGGUGAAACCGAGUUGUGAUUUUCGGCGUGACCGAAGUGCAUAACUGCCCAGCAGUUAUCCAUCUCGGUGCCACCGAGUUUAACCACUCGGUCCCACCGACAGCAAAGGGGUAUAUAUACUCCAAGGGCCGCGCGCGUUGAUUUCUCCUUCAAACGUUUCGCCCCCACACCCCUUGCUGCCGUCGCCUUGGUCUCCGGAUCGUCGCCGUCGUCGCCUGUGCGCCCUCACCGCGGGUCUCCGUCGCCGUCAACGGACAUCUUCUCCGCGCCGUUGCCGCCGUAGAAAAACUCCACCAAGUUAGGGUGAGUUUUGAUCCCACUCGUGCUCCCAUCUCCGAUUCAAUGCACGUUUGGUUUGCCUAGAAUCUUGCCAUGAUUGAAAUCCUCCUGUACACCAGAUUAGUUCGUUUGAACUAGAUUCGAGUAAAAGUUUUAGGGUUAGGUUUCCGCCGAACACAUCUCAGUGAGACCGAUUUUACAUUUUCGGUAUGACCGAUUUGGCCUAUGGCCAUUGCACUGCACCCUUCGGUCCAACCGAGUAGUGCAAAUCGGUGUGACCGAAAUGAGGAUUCUGUGAAACCCUAGUGUUUUCGGUAGGACCGAAACCCACUUCGGUCAAACCGAAAGUGGUGUGAAAGCUUCUGUUUAACACUUCGGAUUCACCGAAUCUUAAACUCGGUCUGACCGAAAUGUCUUCUGUGAAAACCUAAUACUGGAAUUUGAACUCAUUUUUUUGCAAAAACUUCUACAGUUUGUGAUGACUCUUCUUCUCUGCCUACACCUUAUCUAUUCACAGGUUGUCAGCCAUGUCAGAUGCCAGUGACAGUCAGAACAGGUCAGAGACACCCAUUGCAGAUAUUCCAGAGGCAGGCACUAGUCCUGAUCCUAGCAGCUCAUCAGAUGAUGGUGAGAGGAGUACACCAAGUGGAUUGCCUCCUGCAGCCAGAGCAUGAAGACAAUGAUGUUGUGAUGGAUGAGGAGGACCCAACAUCUGUUGAAGGUCAAGCCAAGAUCGAAGCUGCCAAGAAAGCCAAAGCUGACAAGGAAGCAGCAGCAGCAGCAGCUAAACCAAAGAGCUUCGGAGAGCAGAUUCUUGAAGCUACCCAAAGGAUUGAACAACGCCUGGCCAGCAUUGUACAGUCUCAGGAGAGCCUAGAGAGGAUUGUUGAGGACAAGAUCCACGCUCUGGAUGUGAAGCUGACUGAAGUGCAAGUGACCGUCAACAAGCUUGAGGCAGACAUUGAGGAAGCAAAGCGGGAGAAGGAAGAGCUUAUGCGAGAGAUGCAGGAUGACUUAGUCCAGGAUGCUUAUCAACAGACUGCUCCGGUUCCCACAGGACCCCGAUCAGCUGCUAUUCCAGUGACUGACACCAGGACUACAGCUUCAGCACCUCCCACAGUUCCAGCAGUUACUCCUACUCCAGCUCCAGCUCCAGUGACCACUCCUCCAGCACAGACAUCAGCUGAAGUCUUCGCCGAUGCUGUCAUAUCAACUCCAACAUCAACCCAGACGGGAGCCGCCAGCAGAGUCCCCAGUGACGCUUAGCUCUAUGCUUUUUCGAACUUUUUGGUAACUUGUUGCCAAAGGGGGAGAAAUUGUAUAGAUCAUAGGACUUCGAGAGAGAGAGAGUGUUGUUGUCGCUUUUGCUCUUUCGUUCUUUUGCGGUUUCUUUGAGAUACUUUUGGUUUUCGAGACAUUCAGUGUGUUUGAUAUGUGUUUGAUACUACGUUCGAUUCUACCUUAAUGAGUGCUUGGUCGUACUAUGCUUUAAUGUGUGCUUAAUGCUUAUCAUAUGCUUUUCCUAUCUUGUAUGACCAUUUACUCAUGUCUUGGUGAUUGGGUGCAUGCUAUUCAUUCUUAUCAUUUUGUGCGCUCCACCAAGAUGUAUGUGACAUGGAAGAGUGACCCAUGAUCCUAAUCGAUUGUGCAUUUGCAUUCAAACGCAAAUCUUAAAUAAUGCACAAAUUUAGGGGGAGCUCUUGCUUAUCACAUACUUCUCAAAGCGACGAUAUUAUUCAUUGAUUAUAUCCUUUGUCGAAGCUUUGAUCUAUAUGUUGUCAUCAAUUACCAAAAAGGGGGAGAUUGAAAGUGCAACUAAUCCCCGGGUGGUUUUGGUAAUUAAUAACAACAUAUAUAUCAUUGAACUAAUAGUUUCUUGAGAAUCAUUUCAGAAAGUUCAGUGAUAUGGGUAUGGCAAGGACUGAAGAAGUGGACCCCUCAAAAUGCUAAGGCAAGCAUUGGCAAAAGCUCAAGACUCCAUUUUUGGUUUAGUGAUCCAAGAUCACAUUGAGUCCAUAGGAAAGCCAAUACUAUUAAAAGGGGAUGAGGUUAUGAUGAUGAUCUGGUUGCUCAAGUGCUUAGUGAUACAUCUCCUAAACUAUCAGCAACUUUCACUGCCAUAUACACUCAUAAGUAAUCUCGGUCCCACCGAUAUUCCAAACUCAGUCACACCGAGAUGAACCACCUCAGCCAUAAAGCCAAACCCUAGAAAACUCGGAUUUUCCGAUUCUGAACUCGGUCUCACCGAAACUUGAGUCGCCAAGCUUCUGUAACCUUCUGCCAUCAAAUCGGUGUCACCGAGAUGAUGAAGUCGGUCCCAUCGAAAUUGGCAAGCUCUUGUCAUUGCACGAAUCGGACUAACCGAGAUUGUAUUUUCGGUCCCACCGAAAAUCCCAACGUUCACAUUAUUUGAACUUUCGGUCUCACCGAGUUGUCAACUUCGGUCCCACCGAGAUUGCUCAAAUGUGUGUAACGGUUGGAUUUUGUGUGGAGGCUAUAAAUACCCCUCCACCCCCUCUUCAUUCGUGGAGAGAGCCAUCAGAAAGAACUACCACUCCUACCUUACAUUUCUGAGAAGAGAACUACCUACCCUUGUGUUGAGAUCAAGUUGCUCCACUCCCACCAUAUGAAGCUUGAUCUCUAGCCUUCCCAAGUUGCUUUCCACUCAAUCCUUUCUUCCACCACAGCCAAAUCAGUGAGGAGAGUUGAAUGUUGGGGAGAUUAUCAUUUGAAGCACAAGAGCAAGGAGUUCAUCAUCAUCAACAACAUCUAUUACCUUUUGGAGGGUGGUGCCUCCUAGAUUGGUUAGGUGUCGCUUGGGAGCCUCCGUCGAGAUGUGGAGUUGAACCAAGAAGUUUGUAAGGGCAAGGAGAUCGCCUACUUCGUGAAGAUCUACCCCGAGUAAGGCUAGCCCUCCGUGGGCGUAGGCCAUGAUGGAAUAGACAAGGUUGCUUCUUCGUGGACCCUUCGUGGGUGGAGCCCUCCGUGGACUCUCGCAGCCGUUACCCUCCGUGGGUUGAAGUCUCCAUCAACGUGGAAGUACGAUAGCACCACCUAUCGGAACCACGAGAAAAAUCAUCGCGUCUCCAAAAUUGCGUUUGCUCUUCUCCACCUCUCUUUACUACAUGUGCAAUUUACUUUCCGCUGCCUAUACUCUAGAAUUGCAUGUGUAGGGUGAUGCUUGACUUGAUCGUAAUUGUGAAUCUGCCAAAAACUGUUCUUUG
RNAcentral lists this long non-coding RNA (8214 nucleotides) under Triticum aestivum (bread wheat). Its description in RNAcentral is "long non-coding RNA (TAES_LNC023414)". Lineage: Eukaryota; Viridiplantae; Streptophyta; Magnoliopsida; Poales; Poaceae. The record is from RNAcentral.